CGCGCGUUCGGCUAUGGGUUAGGCCGCUGCGCUUUCACCGCAGCAGAGCGGGUUCGAGUCCCGCACGCGCGAC
RNAcentral lists this transfer RNA (73 nucleotides) under Actinocatenispora sera. RNAcentral's name for it is "tRNA-Glu". It matches the Rfam family "tRNA". From Rfam's summary of the family: Transfer RNA (tRNA) molecules are approximately 80 nucleotides in length. Their secondary structure includes four short double-helical elements and three loops (D, anti-codon, and T loops). Lineage: Bacteria; Bacillati; Actinomycetota; Actinomycetes; Micromonosporales; Micromonosporaceae. The record is from RNAcentral.